UACGUAGGUGGCAAGCGUUACUCGGAAUCACUAGGCGUAAAGCGCAUGUAGGCGGUUCGGUAAGUCUCUUGAGAAAGCUCCCGGCUCAACUGGGAGAGGUCAAGGGAAACUACCGGGCUAGAGUGUGGCAGAGGAAGCUGGAAUUCCCGGUGUAGCGGUGAAAUGCGUAGAGAUCGGGAGGAAUACCUAUGGCGAAAGCAGGCUUCUGGGCCGUCACUGACGCUGAGCUGCGAAAGCUAGGGGAGCAAACAGG
RNAcentral lists this ribosomal RNA (253 nucleotides) under uncultured bacterium. RNAcentral's name for it is "partial 16S ribosomal RNA". It matches the Rfam family "Bacterial small subunit ribosomal RNA", at positions 524 to 776 of the family's 1533-position model. The record is from RNAcentral.